GCGCCGCCGUCGGAGUGGCGGCGCUGGAGUGCAGAGGUGGUCGGAGACCAGCCUGAUAUAAAACAAGCAAACGCAUCAAAUAAAAAUAAAAAGAAAAGGUUCGAUGCAUACCUGGUGAAUACAGCCGUCGAUGACCGGAGUAGUGGACGACUGUCGGGGAGGUAGUCGCCGACGGUGAACGGAGUGGAUACCGAGGCUGCAUGUCGACGGGGAAGGCGGCCUCGAGGUGCUGAUGGUGG
This 239-nucleotide unclassified non-coding RNA is filed under the name Hevea brasiliensis (rubber tree). The record is from RNAcentral. Lineage: Eukaryota; Viridiplantae; Streptophyta; Magnoliopsida; Malpighiales; Euphorbiaceae.